GAAUCACCAAAGUAAACAGGAAGACUAAGUAUUAGAGAACAAAAGUUCAAGAUAUACAAGUUUAAGUCAAUUGAUGGAAAUGGACAGGGCACCUCGCCAGAACAAAAUGACAAUAGAUGGACAAAAGUAGCCACAGCAGAAUAGACUCCAAUAGCAAGUACACUAGGUCAUGGAAGAACCAAAAACAGAUAGAACCAGAUAUGACGAUAAUAAUAAUAAAAAAAAUUAACAAAGGCAAUUUACUGUAACGCCCUCUUACAUAAAAGAGAAUUAUUUCGUGGCACUGGUAAAGUUUCGAUCGUAAUUUCGAUAAUCGAACAUUAUAAUCCCUUAUAAAUAAAAAAAACCCCAAACCAAAAUUGCUAUUUGCUGUUGCGACUCUCAUCAAACAGAGUCAAAAUGAAGAUUUCACUUUUAUUUGUACUCGGCGUAUUGCCGUGUGUCUUGAGCCAGAAUUCCAUGACACCGGAGUGUGAAAGGUUCCACGAACUAAGGGUGUACUUAUCCGGCAUUGACCAUCGCGUUACAGUAGAAAUGGUGGCAGCCGAAGCUCGUGAAGCGGUUGUAGACGAAAACGAGGUUGAGGGUUAGUAUGGGCGUUUUAGUUGUUUUGUAGAAGUAGGAGUUUCACCAGGAUUUCCC
Long non-coding RNA from Anneissia japonica, 642 nucleotides. RefSeq lists it as uncharacterized. The record is from RefSeq and is a predicted model, not a curated record. The transcript has 3 exons. Lineage: Eukaryota; Metazoa; Echinodermata; Crinoidea; Comatulida; Comatulidae.